Molecule: ribosomal RNA, 520 nt
Filed under: uncultured bacterium
Lineage: Bacteria
Description: bacterial SSU rRNA
Rfam family: Bacterial small subunit ribosomal RNA
Source: RNAcentral
AGAGUUUGAUCCUGGCUUACGAUGAACGCUAGCUACAGGCUUAACACAUGCAAGUCGAGGGGCAGCAUGAAGUUUGCUUGCAAACUUGAUGGCGACCGGCGCACGGGUGAGUAACGCGUAUCCAACUUCCCCUUAGUAGGGCAUAGCCCGGCGAAAGUCGGAUUAAUACCCUAUGUUCUUCGUAGAGGACAUCUGAAAUGAAGCAAAGACUUGUCGCUAAGGGAUGGGGAUGCGUCUGAUUAGGUUGUCGGCGGGGUAACGGCCCACCGAGCCUACGAUCAGUAGGGGUUCUGAGAGGAAGGUCCCCCCACAUUGGUACUGAGACACGGACCAAACUCCUACGGGAGGCAGCAGUGAGGAAUAUUGGUCAAUGGACGAGAGUCUGAACCAGCCAAGUAGCGUGCAGGAAGACUGCCCUAUGGGUUGUAAACUGCUUUUAUGCGGGGAUAAAGUGCGGCACGUGUGCCGUUUUGUAGGUACCGCAUGAAUAAGGACCGGCUAAUUCCGUGCCAGCCGCCGC